Neofelis nebulosa (Clouded leopard) is the source of this 775-nucleotide long non-coding RNA. RefSeq lists it as uncharacterized. The record is from RefSeq and is a predicted model, not a curated record. The transcript is spliced from 5 exons. Lineage: Eukaryota; Metazoa; Chordata; Mammalia; Carnivora; Felidae.
ACAUUGUGACAUCAUAACUUAGGCUACUUUAUUUGCUGUUGCACCAAUAUAGCGCCAAGGCGCGGAGUAGCACCUUUGGAUGCAAACGGUGCUUUCCUUUCAUGAAACUUAAGGCACUUCGCAGGCAUUUUCUUUCUAAACCUCACAACAUCUCUCAAAGCUUAAAAAAAAGAAGGAAAUCCUGUAUAUGUGACACCAGGGACGAAAUUGGAAGACAUUAUGCUAACUGAAAAAGGCCAGUCACAGAAAGACAACUACUGUAUGCUUCUGCUUAUAUGAGGUAAAGUGAGGAUUUGGGAAAGAAAGGAAAACAUAAGAUGAGAUCUCUCUAUGAACAAGUGACGGUUUAAAGUGGGUCACCUCAUUGCCAUCUCAUAAGCACCUUAUUGCACCAACCCAAGGAAUCACCUGCAAGUGAACAGUGAAGGUUCAAUAAGGAUGGAAAAGAGUACUGAUAGCAAUUUGGAAGCAAAUCUGAGGAGUGCAUACUUUUCAUUAAAAGGUUAUUUCGUGCUUCCUCUCUUCCACACGAUCAAGAUCUUCAAAGUAAGCAUCUUUCAAAGGAGCGACAAGCAAAAUACAGCUGCAGGAUCAGUAACUCCCUGUUAAGCAGCUUUGCCUGCUGUCACUAUUGACUGCUGGAGGUGGUGAUCCAUGUCAGUCACUAAAACGACACCUUGGCAAGACUGCAAUCUGCUCCCAGGGUUUUUGUGUAUGAGAACACUUAGAUAAUGAGAUUUUCAUAUAUUCCCAGCAGCUCACACAGUGCCUGGAA